Quercus lobata is the source of this 1020-nucleotide long non-coding RNA. RefSeq lists it as uncharacterized. Lineage: Eukaryota; Viridiplantae; Streptophyta; Magnoliopsida; Fagales; Fagaceae. The transcript has 6 exons. The record is from RefSeq and is a predicted model, not a curated record.
CUAGAUUUCUCAUCACAGUACUAUCUUUUUCUUACUUUCUCAUCACACAUUGGCCUCAAGUUUAAAAAUCGGGCUGUCAAUCUUGGAUUUUAUUCUUUGGACUUUAUUUUGGUAUGAAUAUUCUUCAUAACUCCACCAUGUUUUCAUUAUUACCCCGAUUUAUAAUGAGAUUGCACACUUUUCCAUCAAUGUUGCAAAUAGAAUAGAAAAUGCUGGUUCUCAACCAAUCUUCCUUGCUUUCUUUAUUCAGCACAAAGAGAGUCUUCUUCAUUAAGUGUUAUACCUUCCUCAUCUUCAAAUUCUUCUCUGAUUUCUUCAUGUAAGGACUGAUAAACAGGUUCCUUACUUUCUUGUUUUAUCUAUCAUACAUUGGCAUAAGAGAUUCUUUCUUGUCAUAAGUGCAAGACGCUAUUCUCCUUCAUAGUCUUCAACAAUUUCUUCACACAACUGAUUAGCAUAGGUAGGGGCUUUGGAUUGUUGAUCAAAUUCCUCUAGUUCAUCACAAAGAGUGCUUUUCCAUCGAGGGUUUGCGUUGCUAAUCAUUUUGCAGUUUAUUUGUGGGAAGAAUCAAAUCUGGCAACCACACUGCAGGAAUUAGCUUGUUGAGUAGGAGUGUAUUCAGCAGGAUUUGAUCAUGUGAAUUAAUAUUGGCAUCUUUCCACACAUCUCUAGAAUCCUUUCUGUCAAUAUUUCCUUUGGUUCUUCUUUGACAUCUUCAAAACCCGAUUGACAUUUGCAUUGGCAUGGGACUAGAAGCAGAGAGUUAAUGAGGACCCACGUAUAAGUGUUGCAUGUCGUACUCCUACAGGUACCGUGUCCAUGCUUCCAGUUUAUAUGCAAGUAGCCUCAUGACUCUGUGAGAGAUUAUAUGACAAGACCAACUAAUAUCAUCUCAUAGCAUUGUGAACUCCGCCACCUUCAAGAGACUUGUGCUUUUGUGCAAUAGAGUGGAAAAUAAGGGUAUCAUGUUGGAGCAGAUAUCAAGUUGAUGAUGCAGCCAGUUGUUUGGCUGCUAAACCA